This is a long non-coding RNA of Vigna angularis (adzuki bean), 610 nucleotides long. RefSeq lists it as uncharacterized. Lineage: Eukaryota; Viridiplantae; Streptophyta; Magnoliopsida; Fabales; Fabaceae. The transcript is spliced from 2 exons. The record is from RefSeq and is a predicted model, not a curated record.
AAAUUUUCUUUGGAAAGGGAUGGAGCUGAUGCUAUGACAGAACUGAAGACUCCAGAUUCCCUUAAACUUUGGAUUAUGACCUGAAGACCAGUGCAUGAGGAAAUGAGUUUGGAGCGUAAAAAGAAGUUGAAUUACUUUGUUUGCAACCACAGCGGUCACGUCUAGAAGUUAAGUCUGAGAAUUUAGCAUACGUGUAAUGUAAAACAGCAGCUUCUUCCAAUUUGAUUUCACUAGCAUAAUUGAGAAGAACUAUCAGGGAAAUAACAAAAAUGUCAAGGGAUACACUCAUGUCUUGUGAUUCAAAGAUCAUACUUUGGGGUUUUCAUAUAAUUAUGCCAUCUAUGGGCACCAUUAGGCCGAAGAUGAUCUUGUAUCCGAGCAGCUGAUUUUCCAUUUCCAUAAGUCAGGAAGUAGUUUGGAUUGCCACGUACAGAAUCUUUAUACAUUCCAAAGUAUGUAUCCUUUGGAAGAUGAUCAUAGUUCUUCUUAAACAUCGAUACCUGCUUUGACAGAUCAGGAGAAGAGGUUACAAAUUUAUAAUUUAGGUUUACUUUUGCAGUGUACUGAUCACUUAUCCAAUAUUUACUUAAAAGUCGGGUUUGAAAUUUUC